AGAGUUUGAUCCUGGCUCAGGAUGAACGCUGGCGGCGUGGAUAGGGCAUGCAAGUCAAGGGGGUCGCAAGACAACCGGCAGACGAGAUAGUAAUAAGUAGGUACGAACCUAGAAGUCAGGAAUAGCCUAUCGAAAGGUAGGGUAAUACUUGAUAGUCCCGCAAGGGUAAAGAUUUAUCGCUUCUAGAUCGGCCUGCUCGGUAUCAGCUAGUUGGUAAGGUAAUGGCUUACCAAGGCAAUGACGCCUANNNNNNNUGAGAGCCUGUUCCCCAUCGAUGGAACUGAGAUACGGUCCAUACACCUACGGGUGGCUGCAGUCGAGAAUAUUCGACAAUGGGCGAAAGCCUGAUCGAGCGACGCCGCGUGCAGGAUGAAGUGCUUCGGUAUGUAAACUGCUUUUGUGAACCAGAAAGUUUAUUGAUCGGUUCAAGAAUAAGAGGUUGCUAAACUCGUGCCAGCAGCAGCGGUAAUACGAGUGCCUCGAGCGUUAUCCGGAAUCAUUGGGCGUAAAGGGUGUGCAGGUGGUUUUGUUAGUCUUCUGUUAAAUUCUUCGGCUCAACCGGGGACCUGCAGGGGAAACGGCAAGACUAGAGGAUGCGAGAGGUUUACGGAACUCAUAGUGUAGCGGUGAAAUGCGUUGAUAUUAUGGGGAACACCAAAUGCGAAGGCAGUAAACUGGAGCACUCCUGACACUGAAACACGAAAGCGUGGGUAGCGAAUGGGAUUAGAUACCCCAGUAGUCCACGCCCUAAACGAUCUUCUCUAGGUUUUCGGAGUAUCGACCCUCUGAGAGCCACAGCUAACGCGUUAAGAGAAGCGCCUGGGUAGUACGGCCGCAAGGCUAAAACUCA
This 850-nucleotide ribosomal RNA is filed under the name uncultured bacterium. RNAcentral describes it as "bacterial SSU rRNA". It matches the Rfam family "Bacterial small subunit ribosomal RNA", at positions 8 to 903 of the family's 1533-position model. The record is from RNAcentral.